Molecule: ribosomal RNA, 651 nt
Filed under: Triticum aestivum (bread wheat)
Lineage: Eukaryota; Viridiplantae; Streptophyta; Magnoliopsida; Poales; Poaceae
Description: partial small subunit ribosomal RNA
Source: RNAcentral
AUGGUUGAAAGUGGAACAACAGUGAGCAUUUCAACAUACGGUAUAAUUCUUGGAGAACUUUGUAGGAAUAAUUGCACUGAGGAAGCAAUCAUACUGUUCCACAAAUUAGGUGCAAUGAACGUGAAGUUCGAUAUUACAAUAUUCAAUACCAUGAUUGAUGCAAUGUACAAGGUUCGAAGAAGAGAAGAAGCUAACAUUUUGUUUGCUGCAAUAUCUGCCAAUGGAUUGGUACCUAAUGCUUCUACCUACAGAAUAAUGAUAACAAAUCUUUUAAAAGAAGGAUCAAUGGAAGAAGCUGAUCAUAUGUUUUCAUCAAUGGAGACGAGUGGUUAUGCUCCCAGCUCCGUUCUAUUAAAUGCUAUCAUCAGAAUGUUGUUAGAAAAAGGUGAGAUAGUCAAGGCUGGAAAUUAUUUGUCUAAAGUUGAUGGGAAGAGCAUCUCACUUGAAGCUUCAACUAGUUUGUUGAUGUGGCAUCUAUUUUCAACGGAAGGAAAAUAUCAUGAGCAAAUAAAAUCACUCCCUGAAAGGGCAAACGGGUCCCUAAUGAAGGGAUUUUUGAGAUUGCUGAUGCUAUGUUCAUUUAGUGGACAUUCGAGCUCAUAUCGGAGUCUCAUACUCUAUGCUGUCAGUAGCACCGAUGGAGAUUGUUGA